RNAcentral lists this ribosomal RNA (684 nucleotides) under uncultured Promicromonospora sp. RNAcentral's name for it is "bacterial SSU rRNA". It matches the Rfam family "Bacterial small subunit ribosomal RNA", at positions 70 to 758 of the family's 1533-position model. The record is from RNAcentral. Lineage: Bacteria; Bacillati; Actinomycetota; Actinomycetes; Micrococcales; Promicromonosporaceae.
AAUGGGAUUAGAUACCCCAGUAGUCACGGACGGGUGAGUAACGCGUGAGCAACCUGCCCCCUACUUCGGGAUAAGCCAUGGAAACGGGGUCUAAUACCGGAUAUGAAUGCCUGCCGCAUCGUGGGUGUUGGAAAGUUUUUCGGUGGGGGAUGGGCUCGCGGCCUAUCAGCUUGUUGGUGGGGUAAUGGCCUACCAAGGCGUCGACGGGUAGCCGGCCUGAGAGGGCGACCGGCCACACUGGGACUGAGACACGGCCCAGACUCCUACGGGAGGCAGCAGUGGGGAAUAUUGCACAAUGGGCGAAAGCCUGAUGCAGCGACGCCACGUGAGGGAUGACGGCCUUCGGGUUGUAAACCUCUUUCAGCAGGGAAGAAGCGGUUGGGUUUUCUCAGUCGUGACGGUACCUGCAGAAGAAGCGCCGGCUAACUACGUGCCAGCAGCCGCGGUAAUACGUAGGGCGCAAGCGUUGUCCGGAAUUAUUGGGCGUAAAGAGCUCGUAGGCGGUCUGUCGCGUCUGGUGUGAAAUCCCAUGGCUCAACUGUGGGCUUGCAUCGGGUACGGGCAGACUAGAGUGCUGUAGGGGAGACUGGAAUUCCUGGUGUAGCGGUGGAAUGCGCAGAUAUCAGGAGGAACACCGAUGGCGAAGGCAGGUCUCUGGGCAGUUACUGACGCUGAGGAGCGAAA